UUGGAGGGCAAGUCUGGUGCCAGCAGCCGCGGUAAUUCCAGCUCCAAUAGCGUAUAUUAAAGUUGUUGCAGUUAAAAAGCUCGUAGUUGAAUUUCGGGGUUAGCAGGUCGGUCGUGCCAUCGGUAUGAACUGGUCUCGCUGAUCCCUCCCUCUUGACGAACUGUGAUGCCAUUAAUUUGGUGUCGCAGGGAAUCAGGACUGUUACUUUGAAAAAAUUAGAGCGUUUAAAGCAGGCUCACGCUUGAAUACAUUAGCAUGGAAUAAUGAAAUAGGACGUUUGAUCCUAUUUUGUUGGUUUCUAGGAUUGACAUAAUGAUUAAUAGGGAUAGUUGGGGGCAUUAGUAUUCAAUUGUCAGAGGUGAAAUUCUUGGAUUUAUUGAAGACUAACUACUGCGAAAGCAUUUGCCAAGGAUGUUUUCAUUAAUCAAGAGCGAAAGUUAGGGGAUCGAAGACGAUCAGAUACCGUCGUAGUCUUAACCAUAAACUAUGCCGACUAGGGAUCGGAUGAUGUUAAUUUUUAAUGACUCAUUCGGCACCUUACGGGAAAC
Molecule: ribosomal RNA, 548 nt
Filed under: uncultured Glomus
Lineage: Eukaryota; Fungi; Glomeromycota; Glomeromycetes; Glomerales; Glomeraceae
Description: SSU rRNA
Rfam family: Eukaryotic small subunit ribosomal RNA
Source: RNAcentral